UCUAAUGUGGCAGAAAGUGCAGUAAACUUAAGAUUUAUAAAAGGGUUUGAUACUUCUUUAGAA
This 63-nucleotide transfer RNA is filed under the name Bemisia tabaci. RNAcentral's name for it is "tRNA-Leu". Lineage: Eukaryota; Metazoa; Arthropoda; Insecta; Hemiptera; Aleyrodidae. The record is from RNAcentral.